GGUCGGUUAGCUCAGUUGGCAGAGCAUCGCAAUUACAUUCAUAUCCAAUACGAGUAUGUUGGAGAAUUACUGCGAAGGCCAUAGGUUCAAGCCCUAUACUGACCA
Xylariaceae sp. FL1019 is the source of this 105-nucleotide non-coding RNA. The record is from the annotation of a GenBank genome assembly. Lineage: Eukaryota; Fungi; Ascomycota; Sordariomycetes; Xylariales; Xylariaceae.